Molecule: long non-coding RNA, 4472 nt
Filed under: Theobroma cacao (cacao)
Lineage: Eukaryota; Viridiplantae; Streptophyta; Magnoliopsida; Malvales; Malvaceae
Description: long non-coding RNA (TCAC_LNC002144)
Source: RNAcentral
UUUUUGGCAUAAUACUAGAAUGAAUCUUUAUUUCUCCCUCCCUCUCGGCCUCUCCUCCCCCAUGUUGGGUUUUGAAACAGGAAACCUCGGCUGGCAUCAGUAUUUUAGCGACCUCAAACAUACUUCCAGGCACGUUCUCUUUCCCUCUUAUGCAUUUCAAGUAUGAUCUUGUUGUUUCAUCAGUAUUGUCGUCUUAAAACUGUUCCUCUCGGGAAAUUGUUAACCAGUAUUUCCUGUUGCAUGGCAAUUGGCAUGUUUUCAUCGGUUUGAAUGUGAUCCCUUUCCUUUAUUCCUUUGCUAAUAAGCACAAGCUAUCCACUGGUCCACCAAGGUAAAGGGUAAUGCAACAGUUGAAUCUUAUCAAGUACCCAAAGACCACGAAGAAAAAAUGGAUCUAUCAUCCAUGCAAGAAAGGGUUACUAGCUAUUGUAAAUGGUUUAUUUGAUUAAGACUUAGCUGGUUUGAAUCAACUUAUAGAUGCUCAGAUCACAAUAAGCAUAGAAACCUGUGUUAGCAAUACCCAACAAUCCGUUUUUCCUUUCCAGUUAUUUAGCAUUAUAAAACACUACUUCAAGAGAAACAGAUAAAUUUAUCAAUGGAAGCAUGCAUACUUGCCUGCAAGAGACACUCAUUAAUUUUCUUUUUGUUCAAAUACAACGUCAAUUGCUAUUGGAAACAAAUUUUUUUCCUUUUAUGGUCAUAUUUAUAUACUUUUGCUGCUUGGCACAAAAGUAACUUCUAGCUUUAUCUUUCGCUAGUAUAUAUAUAGUAUCACGGGGAGGGCAGGGAAGAGCAUCCUCCACCAACCUAGCAUUCUCUUCCACGGUGUGAUCUGCCUCAAGUUCGGCUAUAUUGAUCUCUUCAUUUUCGAGGUUUUAUCGUUCAAGGUUUGAACAAUAAUAUACAAAUAAGCCAACAGCCUAAUCAAAGGUGGUCGUGCCAUAAUGGUGACAAAUUUAUGAAACCUGCAAAAACAAGAUACGAGCAAUUGAGUCCCCGUUUUGUCUAACAAUAAACCUGCUUUUGAACAGAAGGAAAGAUAAACUCAGAAUUUACCGUUCAAAAGGAGAUUAUGUUAGUGAGGCUCCAACUCUAGCUGGUUUUAGCCUUUGCAGAGCACUUCUUCCAUGCUUUAUUGCUAUCAUAAAUAGACUGAAUAUAUAUAAUAGGUAAAAGUGGAUCUUUCCUAAGAUUAUGUUGGUUGCUCCCUCCAUAAAUGUUCCGCUUGAAGCUUCUGUUACCAGAUAAAGAGAGCAAACAUUAGACAUUAAAAACAAGGUUUAUUUGUCAGAUCAGAUAGGAUAAUCUAUUUUAUCUGUAAUUACCCCCACAAGAUUUCUGUCAUUGUCAUCUUAGUAAAUACCCAGAGCCAUUCUUAUAUCCAAGCAUGUAGUUAAUAGAUAGAGAGAGCAAUACUAAUUAUUUACUGCAUGCAGGUCAUUAUACCGAUCUGAUAAUGCAGGAGAAAAUAUCUUGAUUUUUCAGAAGAAUGCAUACCGGAAGUUUUCUUGGGGAAGUUGUUCCAAUCAUGAGGGCUCAUCUUCAUUUCUGAUGCAUUUAUCAAGUCCAGAAGAGCUUUAUUAACCUGAAAAUUUAAGAGUAAUUCAGUCUAUAAAGGUUCUUUCCACAGGCAAAUACCAUAAAAUAAAACCGUUAAAAAUUCUCAUUAAUCAUUGAGAUAUAUUUUUAGUAAUGAUGGAACACGGUCAAUUUUGUCAAGUUAAUAUUCUACUCUCAUCCAUCAAGUAAGUCAUUUGCACAUGCCAGAAUAUUACUUUCUGUACACAAUUCUACAAGCUCAACAUGAACCUUUUGUUACUCUUUCCCACUCAAAUUCAGUGUUAAAAAUAUUUUCAACUUCUUUUGAAAGUGGCUUUUUAGUGCUUUCCACCAUAGAAAGAUUCUCAAGGUGAACAUUCAUGAUGCCUGAAAUCAAGUGGCUGGCUUCACUUAGAUGGAGAGAAUUACCUCUUCUGUCCUCUCAUGACUUACUAGAUGCCCCCCAUGAAGCUCUACCAUUCUAGCAACGGGUUGUAGCUUCUCUGCAAGCCUCCUCGCAUGGCUUAUUUGAGCAAUGACAUCUUGCCUACACAUUGAGAAUGUUAACUUAGUUCACUAUCAUACAUUUCUCAAGAGAUAAUUAUGCUGAUACAAAGAUGACACUAUAUUGCGGUAUGUGUACCACACAAAACAUAUCAUAGUCACUAUCAAACUACAGCUACUAGCAACUAGAUAUUUUAAUACAAGUAUACAACAAAUACUAAAUCAGCUUACAUCUUGAAUCUUAUUUCAAAAUUCAACUUGGAACUGUUAAGAGAGAGCUUUCAUAAAGUUCACUUUAUUUCAAAAUUCUCCUAUUAGUUCAUCUGUCCACUUUUAUCUUUAAUGUUGCACUAGCAUUCAUUGCCGACCAACCUUCAGACACUCUUUAAAGCACAUUGAGAUUCAAAUUUUAAGAGGAUUUCCCACACUUGAUUUCUAUAUGAACAAGGAGCAGUAAAUAUGAACUAAAAUACACCACAAAUAAUGUGCUAUGUGUUUAGAGGAUUUUAAGGUUAUCGAGAUGAUGGCUCUAGUUUCUUUCUCUCACCACAAACUAAUCCAGUGGGAAAAAAGAAAAAAUCAUUCUUGUCAUAUGUUAAGCGUAACUGAAAUUUUAAAACUCAACUCAUCAGAAAUUAUUAUAUUCAGUUAAUAAAUAGACCGAUAUAUCCUAAGAGAGUUCAAAUAUAUAAGUAUAAUUAACUAUUUUCAGGGUUAUGAAGAUUUAGUACCUGCCAUGAAUGACUGAUACAAGAAAUUCACAUGAAUGGAUUAAUUCAAUUUCUGAUCGUGUCAUUUUAUGUGUCCAGCAUGCAUUGAUUUGACCAUCAAAACCACAGUUAGAUUGCAUGCCAGUUGCUGUUAUGCCUUUUACAUAUUCCUGCCAAGAACAAGCAAGCAUCUUGAUGUUAGCACCUCACAAAGUUGAUCUAGGGUUUAUAUAACAAUAUUAUUGUUGCAAACAAGUUAAUAGAAUUGUCUUCCUAGAAGCUGGAAAAACCUCACAUCAGUGCCCCUGUCAAGCAAUGAUCUAAACAGAUAGCCAACUAUGUAAAUAUUUGACAAUGAUUUCACGCGGGGGCAUGAUAUUAAAAAGCCAGCCUACUGGGUUACUUCUAAAAGAUAAUCAGUUUGGUAUCGUAUCAUUGAGGGGUAUAGAGCAUAUCCAAUAAAAAAAAUUCCUGCAACUUUAAUAUUUUGGAUGAAGUAGAGUAUAUUCCAUUAAGUAUUCAAUCAAACUCAGCUGGGACAGCUAGUUGCAGCAUACAGAAUAAGCAAAAAAAAAAAAAAAAUUGCUUCACUCUAAUUCAUUGUAUAUCUAAUUGGUAUACUGUAGUAUCAUGUAUUCAUCGCAAGAAAGUCAGACCAUCCACUCAAACAAAGAUUACUAGUUUCCAAUGAACAAGGAGUAAAAUUUAUCAGGUCUAAUUGAUUAAAAUGAUUGUCACUCAAUGGCCAGUAUCAACUUUCGACUUCAGCAUUUCUUACUUGAUACAAAAUUGCUCUUCUAGUGUUAGAUCCGACAUAUUCUUCAAGAUACUCCUGCAAUCAGAUGUAAAAUGAGACUAUAUGAGUUGCCGUUGUGUAUUAAAAGAAAAGUUACAUUAACUCAUUUGUUUUCAGAAAAAGAACUAACAUUUAUUCUUGAUAAUUCCUCAACUGAAUUUUAAAUUUGACCUUGUUUGACUCAGAAAGUCUUAAAUUGGAAUAGCAGAUCACUAUUUCUGAGAGGUAUUAUACAUAUGCUAAACAAAGCCUCACUGUCAUUACCCAGUAGAAUCAUCCUAGUCCUCAGAUUUACAUGAAAAUGAAAUUGUUAAUAAAUAACCCCAUUAACAUAAAAAACCAUUACCUUUGAGUAGUGCGUGUCUAAGUCAACCGCUGCUCUUUGUUCAGGAGUCUUUGCCUUUAUAAAACGAAUUGCAAUGGACAGCGUUUUGCGGUCAAACUGCAGCUCAUUACAGAUAGAACUAAGUCAAAAGGUUGGCCGAUGGACAGGAAUUAACUUUUGUGUCGCUGUUAGGCUUCUUUCACAGCAACAAAGAUAUAACAGUGAGAAGUGAUAUCUGGUGAAACCUGACAGAUCAAGGAGUCUUCUUAAAUCAGACUGAUUUAUCCCUCUACUGGAGAGGGAGAGAAAGUGCUUAGCAGAUUAUAAUCACCUUCAACUACAAACAAUUUUUUUUUUGGCUUUCCAAAACUGAAAGUGAGCCUCUCUGUAUUCUACACUUUUGCAAAUGAUUCCAAAAUGUGUCAUAAUCUCUACAGUUUUCAUUACAGUUUACUAACUAUGCUGAUAAUGGAUACACGUACAAACACAUUUGAUCAAGUUUAUGAUAAAAUGAAGACAAGAAGAAAAAGAAGUCAAUUGCCAAGUAUUUGUCUGAUGGGACUAGCAUCAGUGUUCUACAAUUUAAAAAGAAAUUGAA